AUACAGGGGGUGCGAGCGUUAAUCGGAAUUACUGGGCGUAAAGAGUACGUAGGCGGUUGCUUAAGUCAGAUGUGAAAGCCCCGGGCUCAACCUGGGAACUGCAUUUGAAACUGAGUGACUAGAGUUUAAGAGAGGGGAGUAGAAUUCCGGGUGUAGCGGUGAAAUGCGUAGAGAUCCGGAGGAAUACCAGUGGCGAAGGCGGCUCCCUGGCUUAAAACUGACGCUCAGGUACGAAAGCGUGGGUAGCAAACAGGAUUAGAAACCCCGGUAGUCC
RNAcentral lists this ribosomal RNA (274 nucleotides) under uncultured bacterium. Its description in RNAcentral is "partial 16S ribosomal RNA". It matches the Rfam family "Bacterial small subunit ribosomal RNA", at positions 523 to 796 of the family's 1533-position model. The record is from RNAcentral.